RNAcentral lists this ribosomal RNA (466 nucleotides) under uncultured bacterium. Its description in RNAcentral is "partial 16S ribosomal RNA". It matches the Rfam family "Bacterial small subunit ribosomal RNA", at positions 28 to 505 of the family's 1533-position model. The record is from RNAcentral.
GACGAACGCUGGCGGCGUGCUUAACACAUGCAAGUCGAACGGAAAGGCCCUGCUUUUGUGGGGUGCUCGAGUGGCGAACGGGUGAGUAACACGUGAGUAACCUGCCCUUGACUUUGGGAUAACUUCAGGAAACUGGGGCUAAUACCGGAUAGGAGCUCCUGCUGCAUGGUGGGGGUUGGAAAGUUUCGGCGGUUGGGGAUGGACUCGCGGCUUAUCAGCUUGUUGGUGGGGUAGUGGCUUACCAAGGCUUUGACGGGUAGCCGGCCUGAGAGGGUGACCGGCCACAUUGGGACUGAAAUACGGCCCAGACUCCUACGGGAGGCAGCAGUGGGGAAUAUUGCACAAUGGGCGGAAGCCUGAUGCAGCAACGCCGCGUGCGGGAUGACGGCCUUCGGGUUGUAAACCGCUUUCGCCUGUGACGAAGCGUGAGUGACGGUAAUGGGUAAAGAAGCACCGGCUAACUACG